AAAGACUGACGCUCAUGCACGAAAGCGUGGGGAUCAAACAGGAUUAGAUACCCUGGUAGUCCACGCUGUAAACGAUGAUCACUCGUUGUUGGCGAUAUACUGUCAGCGACUGAGCGAAAGCAUUAAGUGAUCCACCUGGGGAGUACGGCGGCAACGUUGAAACUCAAAGGAAUUGACGGGGGCCCGCACAAGCGGAGGAGCAUGUGGUUUAAUUCGAUGAUACGCGAGGAACCUUACCUGGGCUUAAAUGCAGAACGACGUUUCGUGAAAGCGGAAUUUCCUUCGGGACGUUUUGCAAGGUGCUGCAUGGUUGUCGUCAGCUCGUGCCGUGAGGUGUCGGGUUAAGUCCCAUAACGAGCGCAACCCUUAUCAUUAGUUGCCAUCAGGUAAUGCUGGGAACUCUAAUGAAACUGCCUACGCAAGUAGUGAGGAAGGUGGGGAUGACGUCAAAUCAGCACGGCCCUUAUGUCCAGGGCGACACACGUGCUACAAUGGCCAGUACAGAGGGUUGCAAA
This 515-nucleotide ribosomal RNA is filed under the name uncultured bacterium. RNAcentral's name for it is "bacterial SSU rRNA". It matches the Rfam family "Bacterial small subunit ribosomal RNA", at positions 735 to 1253 of the family's 1533-position model. The record is from RNAcentral.